UCAGAGGCAGCUUGAUUGUAAGAAGUAGGCUCAACCAGUGCUGUGCUAACAGAGCUAUUGCAGCAAGUGGAAAAAGAACUGGUGCCAGAGAUGGAAGGAAGGAGGUCACAGAUGUAUUGUUGAAGAUGGGCAGGAGUGGUGUGGUGCCUGCCAGAUCUCCUAGGAGCAGGCAGCAGAGGGUCUGAAGAAGGAGAAGUGUGAACAGGAUUAUACAAGGGUAUGAUAUCAGAAGGUGGUGAAUUAGAGGUAGAGGAAGGGAAGGAAGGGGAAAUAUCAGAUGAUGAGGAAGGGCUGACUGAUGGUGCAUCAGCAAAAAAUGAUAGUCAGGGUAUGAAGGAUGAAUAGAAGAUGGAAUAGAUGCAUCAGCAGUAGAGGGAUAGUCAUGGCAUGAAGGAUGAAUA
RNAcentral lists this long non-coding RNA (401 nucleotides) under Nicotiana benthamiana. Its description in RNAcentral is "long non-coding RNA (NBEN_LNC035646)". Lineage: Eukaryota; Viridiplantae; Streptophyta; Magnoliopsida; Solanales; Solanaceae. The record is from RNAcentral.